RNAcentral lists this unclassified non-coding RNA (391 nucleotides) under soil metagenome. RNAcentral describes it as "partial contains 5.8S ribosomal RNA, internal transcribed spacer 2, and large subunit ribosomal RNA". The stretch from base 1 to 122 matches the Rfam family "5.8S ribosomal RNA", at positions 35 to 154 of the family's 154-position model. The record is from RNAcentral.
GAUGAAGAACGUAGUGAAAUGCGAUACUUGGUGUGAAUUGCAGAAUCCCGUGAACCAUCGAGUCUUUGAACGCAAGUUGCGCCCGAAGCCAUUAGGCCGAGGGCACGCCUGCCUGGGCGUCACACGUCGUUGCCCCCCCAUCUACUCCUUCGGGAUUGCGAGGGGCGGAUGAUGGCCUCCCGUGCGCCUCGUCGCGCGGUUGGCAUAAAUGCCAAGUCCUCGGCGACGCACGCCACGACGAUCGGUGGUUGCGAAACCUCGGUUGCCCGUCGUGUGCGGUCGUCGCGCAUCGAGGGCUCGAAAAAAUUGCCGGGCUCCGGCUCGGCUUUCAACGCGACCCCAGGUCAGGCGGGGUUACCCGCUGUAUUUAAGCAUAUCAAUAAGCGGAGGA